GUUCAUUCCUGAACAUAUACUAAAAUUGGGACAAUAUAGAGAAGAUUAGCAUGGCCACUGUGCAAGGAUGACACGCAAAACUGCUUACACAUCUAG
Molecule: small nuclear RNA, 96 nt
Filed under: Ancylostoma ceylanicum
Lineage: Eukaryota; Metazoa; Nematoda; Chromadorea; Rhabditida; Ancylostomatidae
Source: RNAcentral